RNAcentral lists this unclassified non-coding RNA (1575 nucleotides) under Haliotis rubra (blacklip abalone). RNAcentral describes it as "sulfotransferase 1B1-like, transcript variant X3". Lineage: Eukaryota; Metazoa; Mollusca; Gastropoda; Lepetellida; Haliotidae. The record is from RNAcentral.
UAUGGGUGAGGACUGUCUAGAUAGUCAGUGUAUCAUAGUGUGAACAUCAAAAUGGAGGAAGCAAAGAAUGAAGAGGGAAUAAUCACUAUUGAUGAACAGAAGUUUGACAUGGAUUUCAGUGGACAACAUACCGUUACAGUAACAGAUCGAAGUGGCCACAGUAUGAAAUAUCAACUUUUCCGUGGAGUACAUCUUACACCUAUGUAUAAAAUUGAAAUACUUCAACAAAUCCAAGGUUUCCGCAUGAGGCCAGAUGACAUAUACUUCACCGGAUUUCCCCGUACAGGAACAAACUGGACGUUCGAAAUGACAAGUAUGCUUCUUAAUGGUAAAGCUGAAACCAUCCAAAGAGCCAAAGAUCUCAUUGAGCUAACUCCUCCUGAAGAACUGGUCCAACGACCAUCACCACGUGUCAUCAACGCACACAUGAAAAUGUCCCACUCUCCAGAUGAUGUAGCAGCCCUCAAGUGCAAAGUCAUCUUUACCCUGAGAGACCCAAAGGAUGCUGCCCUAUCUUUGUACAAACUCAUUCACGACAGACCCUCGCCCUAUGGUAGAUAUCAGGGAUCCUUUGAGGAUUAUCUUCACCUCUACUUGGAUGAAAAAGUGGAUUAUAAUGGCAUAUUUGAACACUUGAAAGACGCCGAGGAAUAUUUCAGUCACCAUCCUGAUAUUCCAGUUCACUUCCAGUGUUAUGAAGACGCCAUUAAGGAUCCUGUAAGUGCUGUACACGCUCUGUCUGACUUCCUCGGUCUUCAAAGAGAUGACAACCUUUGCCGAGCCAUUGUAGAAAAAUGCACCUUUUCUAGAAUGAAAAUCGACAAGGUGCCCUUCGCAAUAAAAAUGGAUGGUGAAAAUGUCCUUUACAGAAAAGGAAUCGUUGGCGACUGGAAGAACUAUUACAACGAGCAGAUGUUGCACGAUUACUACAGAGUGUACGAAGAAAAGCUGGCGGGGACCAGAUUCUAUGAUCUGUAUGCCAGGAGUGAACGAAAUAGACGUACUUGGCACAAACGAAACAGGUCCUUUUGUUCAGAAACUCAGCACAAAACGCAGAUGUAUUAAAUAGUUAAAACUGCCAGACUCUUCAGGAGUGAUGUUUGUAUACAACUGACGGUAUGGUACCGUGGUGGUGUUAAUACCUGUUUCAACAAAUGUCAAGGUUGUCGAUCCAGAUUACCUACAUCAUCAAUGACGUUGAAGAUCAGCUGGAGACUGUUACUGUCCUUGCUGAAGUGUCAGGCAGGAAAAUAGCUGUUGGUCUGGAUUUACAUAUUUGUCAGUUCAACGUCCGCUUACAUGAAGGUGGUCUGUGAAUAUUCCAGUCAAAUCCAGACAGUCAAGUGAUUAACAUCCUGAACAUCGAUUUGAUAAAAAGAAUAUUAAUUUCGUUAUUAGAGCUUGGUCCUUGUUUAUCCUUGUCUGACCUUAUCUAACUUUAUUUGUAAGUGCGGACGUUGCUGCUUUGAACUGUAAAUUAACAGCGUGUCAGUAACCUAGCUAGAAGCGACAAUAUCUUUGAAAAAAUGUACAAAAGCAUGAAACGAUACGAAAAGAAUAAAAAUACAAUAUACA